AAAACAAUGCCGUUGUAUCGGUAAAGAACAUGCUAGGCAUUAACAACCAUGUAUCUUUGGAAAUUUUAAAAUUCAACAGAAGAUGAUUUGAAUGCAGAUGUGGCCUCAACAUGACAAAUGCUAAUAAAUAGCAAUAGUUGUUGGAGCACUAAUCUGCUAAAAAACUAAAAAUACGAGCAAUUAAGCAAAUAAUGCAAAUUAGCAUGAGCACCUGGCGGCCCAACCGCAUGCAAAUAGAACACGUAGGGCAGCCCAGCCAGGUGCAGCCUGAUCAACCGAAUGGAUAAGGAAGAGUAGACAGGGAUAUCCACAGAAGGAGUAGAUUCGAUCCCCAAUCCACACGACCAAGACCGGAGGGACUCCAGCCGCGCUCUUCCUCGGAGGCACCUACGGCCGGUCGCCCGCAUCACGGGCGACGGGAGGAACUCCAACCGCACUAUUCAUCGUUAGAGGAGUCGCCGGUUAGGCGGAUGCCAUGCACUGCCCGAGCGCUGUGAAGGCGGAGGUCACGAGGCGCCGGCGAGUGCCUGUGUGCGGCGAGGACGCCACGGCGGCACGGGCCGGGCGCGCGCGAGGGCGGCCACGGCCUGACGCAGGGGCCCGGCCACGGGUGUGGCGCGGCCGCGGCCGGGCGGCGGGGGGCGCUUGGCGCGACUGCAUCAACAUCGACGACUGCGGCGUCGGAGGAGCCGCUCAUGCCGGAGGGCGACCCUGUAGAGGGCCAGCGCCGCCGAUCUGUGCGGAUGCGCGUUUCCGUCGCGGGACGCGAAGCCAGUGGUUCCGGUCGCCCAGUCCAGAGCGGGGUCGAGGCCAGACGCUGAUGGCAAGAUGACGAUGAGCGCCACCACCAGUUCAGCGAAGAUGGUAAUGAAGUGAGGCAUCGUACCUUGAUUCACGUUCUAUAAAGAGAAAUUUGGAUCGACGGAUGCCAAUGCCCUUGUUCCUCAUUAUCUCCUACACUUCCUGCAAGGAAUCGCUCUUGAAGAGUUAAUUUAGAGAUCGAGAGAUUCAUGUCGUUGCCAUGCAUGAUGCAAGGCUGCCGCUUGGAAGCGUUUCCGCCGGGCUGAGGCCGUCCAAUUAAUGAGCGCUGCCGUAGACGGAGAACGGCACACAGAUGGAUUCGCUCCGCCGGGGGCGCGCUGAUAACGUGUUUCGAGUAGAGGACGAGAGACAAUCGACAAGGAUGUAAAGUGAACAGUUGUUUUUAUUGAUGAUGGGAUUACACAUAUAUAUAUAGCCUCCGAAGAGGUGCGUUCGAAGGGACAUGAGACAAUCGCCUCAAUUAGGAAAAGCAGAGAUUAAUAGGAUUAAUUAAAUCCUAACAAUUUUCUCUUCUCCACGCUGGCAUAUUUUCCUUGCUACCUCAAGCCACCAUUACUUUCAGUUAAUUCCCACUACUCCGGCCGUUCUAUAAGAUUAACUGAGGAGGCAUUUGAACGGCCGGCCGGAGUAGUAACGUCGCCCGUAUUCAGAAGCCUAUCACGAUGGUUCCCUUAUCUUCCCUCAAUCAAUAUAUCUUCACAAAAUUUGCCUUCAGAGUCUUCAAAUAAAAACAGUUCCCUUUCACAUCCUCUCCCCGAUGUACUUCACGAGCCCGACUUCUCCCUAGCAGCGUAGGUAUAUGAAGAUGUGGCGGCGGCUUGAGGGAAUUAGGGGGCGGAGGCCUGGGGACGACAUGGCGGUUCGCUCACCUCACAAAAAUCCGAGCGUGCUCUUCCUCCCUUCCCUCUCGAGAUUUGCGGCGGCUAUGGAGCGUGGGCACACAGACAGCGGCGAAUGGAGGGUUGCAGCACCGGAUCGAUGAAUUGUCUGAAUGGAAUGUGAAUACUGGGACAAGUUUGGGUUUCAAUUCAUGAUAUGCGUGUCCAGGAUGACCGCCCCCGAGGUGCACAAAAGUGAGGCCACGACCAGGAGCUAGGCGGCGGUGGACUGGAGAAUUUCUCUCUGUUAAUUCCGUCUCUCUCUCAAUAAGUUUCUCUCUCUACUCUCUGUGUUAACUCUCGCGCUCUCUCUCUGUUAAUCCUGCAUGAAGAAUCAACGGAUUGUGAAUUUCAGACUUUAGUGAAAGCAACAGAUUCAGUGGGCAUGCGCGACUGCAUCCUACUGGUGCAUUUAAUCUAUGUAGUUGAACUAUAUUUGGCACUCGAAGUGAGUGGUUGUUAAGAACAAGUUGCAUAAUGACAGUUUCUUAUUUUCUUUCUGUAGAGUUAUGUCAUCCAAUGCACAUAAUUAGUCAGAAGAGGGAGCUUUAUGAUGCAGAUUGUGCACAAGACUUGGGGUUGUAGUUACGUGUUCAAGUUUUAGCUGCAACUUCAUAGUUUAUUCCACUUGCAGAGAGAGUGGAGAUGGUAGCAUAUUUUGCAAAAGUUUAACCAUUCUCUUUCCAAUUGUUCGUCUAUUGUCCAAGCUUUGAAUGAUAUAAGUUACUUACCUAUCUGUCAUUCUAAAGUAUGCUCAAAUAAGAAUCUAAUUAAACGUUUUGUCC
Aegilops tauschii subsp. strangulata is the source of this 2485-nucleotide long non-coding RNA. RefSeq lists it as uncharacterized. Lineage: Eukaryota; Viridiplantae; Streptophyta; Magnoliopsida; Poales; Poaceae. The record is from RefSeq and is a predicted model, not a curated record.